GUUCCUGUGAUCUCUUCCACUUUCUUCAUUGACACUGUGUCCUCAGAAGGUUCCAGGAUCCGUAUUUUAGGCUUAGAGCAUUCUUGUUUAGCUGGGAUUGCAUUUCCUUGUAGAGAACCACUUGGAUAUUUAGAACCAGUGACUGAGAAGACUACUGAAGAACACUGAAAUCAUUAUCAUACUCAUUUACAUCACUGCUGAUAACCUGACUGAGCCUAAAUGUUGGAAACUUGGUCAAGAUGUAGGUUUAACUACAUGUAUACUAGGACAGAUAUGAUCAUAAAUCAGUAUCUGCCUGGCUUAUCAGAGUGUUUACUGCUGUUCAUAGUCUUAAAGCUACUAACACUUAACCCUUGUUAAAACCAUCCAUAACAGCAGCCAAAUAAGAAUAAAUCAGAGUAGAGAGAGAAUAUUUAAAUGCAUAUAAGAGGAAUCAGCAAUAACAAACUGCAUAAAGUCACAAAUUAUAGACUUAAUUUAAAAAUGCUACAGCGAUCAUCAUGAAUGGAUCAAGUAACAUAAUGUAGGCUUACAUCUAUAACUGUAAAGUUAGUUCUACUUUUUUUUUUAAUGUUCUUGACCACCAAGACAGUUUCUAAUGGAGUGUGGAGUUCCAAGCCAAACUUUACUCUGUCAUCUACUUCUGACCUCAUGUGUGUAACCUACAACAGGCCACCACUAUGUGAAGUUUGUUCUUUCCCAUUAUUGUCUUGCUGAUGAAGUAGAAGUGUAUUCAAGACACUAAGAAGCACUCAAAUUAGUUAUGGAAAAAUUUCCACCACUGACUUAGAGCAGAUUUGUAGCCUAUUUGUUUUGGUGUGCAACAGUGUGGUGCUGCAAACAUUACAAGUUAUUAUAUUUUAACUUUAGUAGUUGUUUACAAUUACUUAAUCUGAUGCUACAGGAGUGCACUGGAAAGAAAAGGGCAACAUGCAUGACUGCAAGGCCCACUAUGAAAAGAAAACUCCACUAUGGUGCAAUCAAAGGAAAAAGAGCAGCCAAAGUAGGGUUUGGCUGCUCAGCCCCACAGAAAGCAGAGAAUGAGUGCCCUUACUACAUUGAAAUGCAGAGGAGCUGGCAAUGUGCAUGGGCCAAGUGCAAGAGCUGUUAGAAGAAAUUAAAUGGCAUAGUCAAGUACCAAAUUCAAUUUAGUGCAGCUGCCUCUGACGUUUAGACAGACCAUGAAGUACUUAAUUGGCUGCAUCUCACUCUAAACUUGGUGUCCCUGUCCACGUGCUGACCCCACCUCAAUUUCUGACCCCCCCGAAAAGGCAGACCUAACACAAGAAGUUCGGCGGUCCCUCUAGGACAGUAGUGUGAUCAAAAGGGUAGACCCCGCCAUUCAGAACAAGGUGUUCUACUCAAUGUAUUUUUUGUUCAGAAAACAAGGACAACAGCUUCCAUUCUAUUCUAGAUGUGAAAGGACCAAAAAAAAAAUCCUCCACUGUGCUGCAUAUUCCUUUGGUACAUUUAGAGUGACUUUGCACCAUCUAGCAAUCUCAUACAAGAAGGCCAGUACUGUAGGAACCAGGCAGUGCAUGGUAUCCAACAUUUACAAAAUGGUAUUGACCUGAAAGCAUACCAGGGAUUCUUGCAUUCAAGAGUGUUUCCUGGACUGCUGAGUCGUUGUCCUCAACCUGCACUUCAUUAGAAUGGGCCAAACCCACAGGUACAGAUAGCCUUGCCGAGGGGGCCUAAUCUCUCCUUUCACUUAGGACAAUAGAUUCUGGGUGACAAGUGGGGCUCUGUGGCCUAAUUGCUGACUUUUGUGCAACAUGGAGAUAAUGAGUGG
Long non-coding RNA from Ictalurus punctatus (channel catfish), 1792 nucleotides. RefSeq lists it as uncharacterized. The record is from RefSeq and is a predicted model, not a curated record. The transcript is spliced from 3 exons. Lineage: Eukaryota; Metazoa; Chordata; Actinopteri; Siluriformes; Ictaluridae.